Molecule: ribosomal RNA, 468 nt
Filed under: uncultured bacterium
Lineage: Bacteria
Description: partial 16S ribosomal RNA
Rfam family: Bacterial small subunit ribosomal RNA
Source: RNAcentral
GACGAACGCUGGCGGCGUGCUUAACACAUGCAAGUCGAACGGAAAGGCCCUGUUUUUCUGGGGUGUUCGGGUUGCGAACGGGUCAAUCAGACGAGUGACACCUGCCCUAGAUGCUCGCAUCUUUUCAGGAAACCUGGGCUAAUACCUCAUAUGCGCUCGAGCUCCGUGGUGGGGGUCGGAAAGUUUAGGCGGUUGGGGUUGGACUCGCGGCUGAUCGGCUUGCUGGUGGGGUUGUGGCUGACCUAGGCGCUGACUGGUAGUCGGCCGGAGAGUGGGACCGGCCACAUUGGGACUGCGCUACGGGCCAGCCGCCGACGGGAGGCAGGAGUGGUGAGUAUUGCACAGUGGGCGGGAGCCUGAGGCAGCGACGCCGCGUGCGGGAUGACGGCCUUCGGGUUGUAAACCGCUUGCGCCUGUGACGAAGCGUGAGUGACGGUAAUGGGAGAAGAAGCACCGGCUAACUACGUG